RNAcentral lists this ribosomal RNA (250 nucleotides) under uncultured Campylobacter sp. RNAcentral's name for it is "partial 16S ribosomal RNA". It matches the Rfam family "Bacterial small subunit ribosomal RNA", at positions 524 to 773 of the family's 1533-position model. Lineage: Bacteria; Pseudomonadati; Campylobacterota; Epsilonproteobacteria; Campylobacterales; Campylobacteraceae. The record is from RNAcentral.
UACGGAGGGUGCAAGCGUUACUCGGAAUCAUUGGGCGUAAAGGACGCGUAGGCGGAUUAUCAAGUCUCUUGUGAAAUCUAACGGCUUAACCGUUAAACUGCUUGGGAAACUGAUAAUCUAGAGUAAGGGAGAGGCAGAUGGAAUUCUUGGUGUAGGGGUAAAAUCCGUAGAUAUCAAGAAGAAUACCUAUUGCGAAGGCGAUCUGCUGGAACUUAACUGACGCUAAUGCGUGAAAGCGUGGGGAGCAAAC